GGAAAAGCAAAAACAUAUAUUAAAUAUAAAAUAGAGAAUGAACAUCUUUAAUUAUGUAAACUGGGACAUAUAUAGAAAUGUUAGUGUGUCUAUAACGUGCUGUCCCUACCUAUGAUGGAAGCCAACAAAGAUGGCCUAAUAUUAUGAACUGAAUUACAAACUACAAAAAAUAAUAAUGGAUACAUUUCUUUCUCUUUCUUUCUUCUCCUCCCUCUUUUCUAAAUAUUAAAUUCCCAUCUCUCGUAAAUCAGGGUGGACGGGUUUAAUUUCUUUUGAGACUAAAGUGUUUUGGUCAGCUACAAGACACGUACCGAGUCUAGAUCAGAAGGACAUCGCCAAAAUUUGCAAGUACAUGCUUCUAAGAAUUCUUGAAAUUCCAAUACGUAAGCACUCCAUGGUUUGUGUCCUAAUAUCUGAUUGGCCCAUCCAGGCUUCCUGAUGCAAACUGUUGAACAAUUGGAUUGCUUGAUGUGGUGAAUUCAUGAGUCAUCCCUUGCCAAACGAUCUUUCCUUUAUAAAGAAACAACAACCUGUCAACAGCCCUCCUAAUGGUACUAUGCUGAUGAGUAACAACCACAUAAGAUGCAAUUUUCCCUGGCUUCCCCAGUGCAUCCUCUCCUAUCAUAUGGACAGAACGAAUAAGAUCUUCAACUACAGUCGAUGCAAUUGGAUCAAGUCCAGCAGUUGGCUCAUCAUACAAAAGCACCUCUGGCUCUAUUGAUUUCUUUGUGAUAUCAAAAAUUAUAGAUCGAGCUAAGGCAACUCUUUUCUUCAUCCCACCAGACAGCUCUGAAGGUGUUCGAUCCUCAACCCCCUUCAAACCUACUGAAGCCAAUGUUUCUUUCACAAUCUCUAAGAUUUGUUCCUCUCCCAUGGUUGAGUUUUCAUAUCUACGCAAUUCAAAAACAUUAAGCAAGUCAAGAAUUCUUUUUCCAAAUGGGAUUACAUUGAAACCAGGCUAUCAAUCCCAAAUCCUAAAGAGAAAAAAAAGGUAAUGUUGAAGGCCUCUUACAAAAGGAAACCAACAUUUUCACGUACAGUCAAAGAAUCAAAAAGUGCUGCACUUUGGAACACCAGUCCAAUUCGAAGCCCUGACAUAUCCUGAUCACUGAUUAAACCAUCUCUCCUUCUACCUCGGAUAAAGACCUCACCCUUGUCUGGAGCAAGAAGUCCGGCAAUGAUCUUUAAUAUUGUAGAUUUCCCAGUCCCUGAAGGUCCAAUAAUACCAACUGCUUCACCAUGUCUAAUCUUGAAGCUCACACCUCUCAGUAUAUCCUUCUCCCCAAACGACUUGUAGACAUUUCUACAUUCAAUUAGGAUAUCAGAAUCAUCCUCUGGUUCCAAUACCGCCCCAAAUUGCUCUGAAUUAUACAAAUUAGUGAAUUUGGUUGCUGGAUAUUCAUUGUUGCCCAUGUUCCGCGGAGGUGCGAUACAAGCGCAAACAACCUUUCUCUGCUUAUAGCAGAAAGAAGAGAUUGUGUCCGUACUCCAAAUAGAGAAUCUAGUACAGCCAUGCAGUACAGUAGCAGGAAAUAAAAUUGAACCGGACAAGGAAACCAUACUUUGUGGAGGCAACUGAGGUUCUGGAUGGUGAUAUUACUGAGUCUGAAGCACACCCAGACCGAUCUUCAGGCCAAAAAUUACAAAAACAUAAACAAUAUCCAAAAUGAGGAGGGUAAACAGGUUAUGGGUGAAGGAAAUUGCAAUUUUGAAGCAAACCCAGAAGUAUUUAUGGGCAAGAUUUCACGAAGUAAUUGGAUUUCGACAUUGAAGUGAAAUUCAGAGUAGUUUAUGAAGAACCUUAGAUUGCAGGUAAACAGAGUUGUGAUUUCGAAAGGGACCAGCAAAAAUAUCGGCCAAAAGCCCACAAAAUCAAUUAAAUUUCGCAAUCGAGAUCCCAGAUGAAAUAUCCCAGAAACAAUAAACGUCAACCAAGAACCAAAAGGCAAAUCGAUGUGAAAAGAAAAUAAGAAUGGAAACAAGGAAAAUUAAACAGAUAUAGAAAAGGAAAACGUUUUUCUCGUGCAGUUGCUGCUUUGUUUUUGGUUAGGUAAGCCCGCUUGUGACACAAAUUUUCCUUCUGCUCCUUUCUGGGAAAUCUCCCUCUCCUCCCAGAAAGAGGACGGAGAUCCGCGGAGAGAAUGGAC
RNAcentral lists this unclassified non-coding RNA (2147 nucleotides) under Hevea brasiliensis (rubber tree). Lineage: Eukaryota; Viridiplantae; Streptophyta; Magnoliopsida; Malpighiales; Euphorbiaceae. The record is from RNAcentral.